GUCUCGGUAGUGUAAUGGAUCAGCACGGCAUAUCGCAUAUUUGUUAGUGCGUGUUCGAGUCCCGCCUGAGGUG
This 73-nucleotide transfer RNA is filed under the name Dictyocaulus viviparus (bovine lungworm). It matches the Rfam family "tRNA". Rfam says of the family: Transfer RNA (tRNA) molecules are approximately 80 nucleotides in length. Their secondary structure includes four short double-helical elements and three loops (D, anti-codon, and T loops). Lineage: Eukaryota; Metazoa; Nematoda; Chromadorea; Rhabditida; Metastrongylidae. The record is from Rfam by way of RNAcentral.